GACGAACGCUGGCGGCGUGCUUAACACAUGCAAGUCGAACGGAAAGGCCCUGCUUGCUUGGUACUCGAGUGGCGAACGGGUGGGUAACACGUGGGUGAUCUGCCCUGCACUUUGUGAUAAGCCUUGGAAACUGGGUCUAAUACCGGAUAGGAGCCAUUUUUAGCGUGAUGGUUGGAAAGUUUUUUCGGUGUAGGACGAGCUCGCGGCCUAUCAGCUUGUUGGUGGGGUAAUGGCCUACCAAGGCGGCGACGGGUAGCCGGACUGCGAGGGUGGACGGCCACAUUGGGACUGAGAGACGGCACAGAUGCGUAAGGGAGGCAGCAGUGGGGAAUAUUGCACAAGGGGCGCAAGCCUGAUGCAGCGACGCCGCGUGGGGGAUGACGGCCUUCGGGUUGUAAACACCUUUCGCUAGGGACGAAGCUUUUUGUGACGGUACCUAGAGAAGAAGCACCGGCUAACUACGUG
Molecule: ribosomal RNA, 465 nt
Filed under: uncultured bacterium
Lineage: Bacteria
Description: partial 16S ribosomal RNA
Rfam family: Bacterial small subunit ribosomal RNA
Source: RNAcentral